This 422-nucleotide ribosomal RNA is filed under the name uncultured bacterium. RNAcentral describes it as "bacterial SSU rRNA". It matches the Rfam family "Bacterial small subunit ribosomal RNA", at positions 917 to 1338 of the family's 1533-position model. The record is from RNAcentral.
GGGCCCGCACAAGCGGUGGAGCAUGUGGUUUAAUUCGAUGCAACGCGAAGAACCUUACCUACUCUUGACAUCCAGAGAACUUUUCAGAGAUGAAUUGGUGCCUUCGGGAACUCUGAGACAGGUGCUGCAUGGCUGUCGUCAGCUCGUGUUGUGAAAUGUUGGGUUAAGUCCCGCAACGAGCGCAACCCUUAUCCUUGUUUGCCAGCGAGUAAUGUCGGGAACUCCAGGGAGACUGCCGGUGAUAAACCGGAGGAAGGUGGGGACGACGUCAAGUCAUCAUGGCCCUUACGAGUAGGGCUACACACGUGCUACAAUGGCGCAUACAGAGGGCAGCCAACUUGCGAAAGUGAGCGAAUCCCAAAAAGUGCGUCGUAGUCCGGAUCGGAGUCUGCAACUCGACUCCGUGAAGUCGGAAUUGCUAG